RNAcentral lists this ribosomal RNA (468 nucleotides) under uncultured bacterium. RNAcentral describes it as "partial 16S ribosomal RNA". It matches the Rfam family "Bacterial small subunit ribosomal RNA", at positions 28 to 507 of the family's 1533-position model. The record is from RNAcentral.
GACGAACGCUGGCGGCGUGCUUAACACAUGCAAGUCGAACGGAAAGGCCCUGCUUUUGUGGGGUGCUCGAGGGGCGAACGGGUGAGUAACACGUGAGUAACCUGCCCUUGACUUGGGGAUAACUUCAGGAAACUGGGGCUAAUACCGGAGAGGAGCUCCUGCUGCAUGGGGGGGGUUGGAAAGUUUCGGCGGUUUGGGAUGGACUCGCGGCUUAUCAGCUUGUGGGGGGGGUAGUGGCUUACCAAGGCAUUGGCGGGUAGCCGGCCUGGGAGGGUGGCCGGCCCCAUUGGGCCUGCGAGAGGGCCCAGACUCCUACGGUAGGCAGCAGUGGGGAAUAUUGCCCAAUGGGCGGAAGUCUGAUGCAGCAACCCCGCGUGCGGGAUGACGGCCUUCGGGUUGUAAACCGCUUUCGCCUGUGACGACGCGUGAGUGACGGUACUGGGUAAAGAAGCACCGGCUAACUACGUG